RNAcentral lists this ribosomal RNA (782 nucleotides) under uncultured Neocallimastigales. RNAcentral's name for it is "partial large subunit ribosomal RNA". It matches the Rfam family "Eukaryotic large subunit ribosomal RNA", at positions 1 to 644 of the family's 3401-position model. Lineage: Eukaryota; Fungi; Neocallimastigomycota; Neocallimastigomycetes; Neocallimastigales. The record is from RNAcentral.
UACGACUACAUAUCAGGCAUAUAAUAAGCGGAGGAAAAGAAACUAACAAGGAUUCCCCUAGUAACGGCGAGUGAAGCGGGAAGAGCUCAAAUUUGAAAUCUUAAAGGGUUUCCCUUGACGAAAUUGUAGUUUAAAGAAGUGUUUUCUGUUGGAGUUUUCGGUAAAAGUUCUUUGGAAUAGGACAUCAUAGAGGGGUGAGAAUCCCGUAUUUGACCGUUACUUUCCUAGCUGUGUGAUACACUUUCAAAGAGUCGGAUUGUUUGGGAAUGCAGUCCAAAGAUGGGUGGUAAAUUUCAUCUAAAGCUAAAUAUUGGCGAGAGACCGAUAGCGAACAAGUACCGUGAGGGAAAGAUGAAAAGAACUUUGAAAAGAGAGUAAAACAGUACGUGAAAUUGUCAAAAGGGAAGCGUUUGACACCAGUGUUGUUUCUACGAAAAUCAAUUUAAAUGAUGCUUGAUGCUAAGCUAGUAUGACCUUAUCCUGCUUGUUGCUUUAGUUUUCUUGUCUUUGUGAAUGCACUUUUCGUGGAACAAGUCAACAUCAAUUUCUUUUGCUGUAAAAGGGUAAGAGGAAGGUGGCUUCGGCUUCGGUUGAAGUGUUUAUAGCCUUUUAUCUCUGCAGUCGGAGAGAUUGAGGUCUGCAGCGUAGACUCUUCGGGGUUAGAUACGUCGGUGCUAAGCUAUAGCUUUUCAUAGACAACUUGUUGACUAUGUUUAGUCAUGUGGCUUACCCGCUGGCGCUAUUUUACCUACGCUUAGGAUGUUGACUGAUAUGUAGUCGUA